GUUUUUGUGGUGUAAUUUAACACAUUGCAUUUUCGUUGCAAAGCUGAAAAAUUUUUUCUAAAAACU
Molecule: transfer RNA, 66 nt
Filed under: Gelasimus borealis
Lineage: Eukaryota; Metazoa; Arthropoda; Malacostraca; Decapoda; Ocypodidae
Description: tRNA-Glu
Source: RNAcentral